AUUGAACGCUGGCGGCAGGCCUAACACAUGCAAGUCGAGCGGAUGAAGGGAGCUUGCUCCUGGAUUCAGCGGCGGACGGGUGAGUAAUGCCUAGGAAUCUGCCUGGUAGUGGGGGAUAACGUCCGGAAACGGGCGCUAAUACCGCAUACGUCCUGAGGGAGAAAGUGGGGGAUCUUCGGACCUCACGCUAUCAGAUGAGCCUAGGUCGGAUUAGCUAGUUGGUGGGGUAAAGGCCUACCAAGGCGACGAUCCGUAACUGGUCUGAGAGGAUGAUCAGUCACACUGGAACUGAGACACGGUCCAGACUCCUACGGGAGGCAGCAGUGGGGAAUAUUGGACAAUGGGCGAAAGCCUGAUCCAGCCAUGCCGCGUGUGUGAAGAAGGUCUUCGGAUUGUAAAGCACUUUAAGUUGGGAGGAAGGGCAGUAAGUUAAUACCUUGCUGUUUGA
Molecule: ribosomal RNA, 448 nt
Filed under: Pseudomonas aeruginosa
Lineage: Bacteria; Pseudomonadati; Pseudomonadota; Gammaproteobacteria; Pseudomonadales; Pseudomonadaceae
Description: bacterial SSU rRNA
Rfam family: Bacterial small subunit ribosomal RNA
Source: RNAcentral